Molecule: ribosomal RNA, 583 nt
Filed under: Copula sivickisi
Lineage: Eukaryota; Metazoa; Cnidaria; Cubozoa; Carybdeida; Tripedaliidae
Description: partial 16S ribosomal RNA
Rfam family: Bacterial large subunit ribosomal RNA
Source: RNAcentral
AAAACAUAGUUAAUUGAAUUUGAUAAUUAAUGAUGCCUGCCCGCUGAUAGGGAAUAAACAAACUAAAACCUAUUUAAAGGCCGCGGUAACUCUGACCGUGCUAAGGUAGCAUAAUCACUUGCCCCCUAACUAGGGGCUGGAAUGAAGGGCCAAACGAGCCCCUCCCUGUCUCAGCUGUAACACUAGUGAAAUUAAGAAAUCUGUUAAGACGCAGGUUAUACUUGAUUAGACGAGAAGACCCUGUCGAGCUUAAUUGGUAUCAUUUUUACCCCUUCUCUUGUAUCAAAGAAAAAUGUAGAAUGAUUACUAAUUUGGUUGGGGCGACCCCCCGAAUAAAAGAAACUUGGGGAAACUAAGGUAGUUUGUAAACCGACAGGCUUGAUAAGCGGAGUGACAACUYUACUUAAUAGAUCUAUUCUAGGUGUUAAUACCCCGCCUUCUAUAGGAGGCGAUAUUGAAUAAAAGUUACCGCAGGGAUAACAGGGUAAUCUCUCUCUAGAGUCCUUAUCGAAAGAGAGGUUUGCCACCUCGAUGUUGAAUAGUAGCAUCCUAAGGGUGUAGAAGCUCUUAAGGGUUGGUCUGU